AAGGAGGCGUUUUUCUCAACAACAGUUCCAACAACAAUGUCAAACAAACCCUAAGUGUUCAUCAUAAAAGUACUGCUCUCACAGAGCCACCUUAAAAUUUUGCCAUGCAUCUAUCAACAGGCAUAUAGUGAAGCAGAAUAUCCAAAAGUGCAAAUUUGUGCAAAUAUGUGUGUUUGCACACUUGAAACAAUUAUAAGAAAUAAUCAUGAAGAUGUUACAACCAUUAUUUAUCAAUUUAGUCCGAUGUAUCAGUAUUACAUGCAUUCAAAAGGCAUCUGAGUGCAUCCAGAGGCAUGUGAGUACCAAACUAAUUCAGCAUAAUGAUAAUCAUGAUGAAAAUUCUUCUAAUGAGAGUGGUCCAAGCUAAAUACCCAUUUAAUUUAUUCAAAGAUAUGAGUUACUUCAAAUCACCAAUUAAGGCUAGAUGAUGUGAGAAAAUCUUGACAGGCAUUAGUCAAAUUUUCAGACAAGGAAAACACCACAUAUUACUGACACUAGCAAGCACAUGGGAUAUGCAAUCUCAAACCCAGAAGAAUGUUGUAAGAAUUAGCAUCAUAAUGGACACUCAAUAAACUAAUGAAGCCUAAUGUCGAGUUAAGAAAGAUUUGUAUCUUAUAUCAAGCAAUUAAUGAAGGCAGCAGUUAUUAAAAAAUUCAUAGAAAACCUGCCAAGUGCAAUAAAUAUUUGUUUCUGAUUUGUUGAUAUAAAAUUGAGGGUAUAGGCGAGAAAAAGAAAGGAGAAAACAAGGGGCCAACUUUCUUCCUCAUGUUUGGCAGUAUAAAUGUCAAAUUGACAAGGCACCAACUACCACUACAGUACUACCAAAGUAAUAUAAAGACUUGGGUAUAAAUAAAUUGCCUAUUUACGCUGAAAUUGAAGAUUUGGAUAUUAAUAAGCGCGAGAGGGAGGGGAAGAGAUUGCUAAAUUAUCUUGCUGAAACAAUUUUGAAUUCAAUACUCACCUCCCAAACAAACACGAUUUUAAAUA
Molecule: unclassified non-coding RNA, 987 nt
Filed under: Hevea brasiliensis (rubber tree)
Lineage: Eukaryota; Viridiplantae; Streptophyta; Magnoliopsida; Malpighiales; Euphorbiaceae
Source: RNAcentral